CUACGUGCCAGCAGCCGCGGUAAUACGGAAGGUCCAGGCGUUAUCCGGAUUUAUUGGGUUUAAAGGGAGCGUAGGCUGGAGAUUAAGUGUGUUGUGAAAUGUAGACGCUCAACGUCUGACUUGCAGCGCAUACUGGUUUCCUUGAGUACGCACAACGUUGGCGGAAUUCGUCGUGUAGCGGUGAAAUGCUUAGAUAUGACGAAGAACUCCGAUUGCGAAGGCAGCUGACGGGAGCGCAACUGACGCUGAAGCUCGAAGGUGCGGGUAUCGAACAGGAUUAGAUACCCUGGUAGUCCGCACAGUAAACGAUGGAUGCCCGCUGUUGGUACCUGGUAUCAGCGGCUAAGCGAAAGCAUUAAGCAUCCCACCUGGGGAGUACGCCGGCAACGGUGAAACUCAAAGGAAUUGACGGGGGCCCGCACAAGCGGAGGAACAUGUGGUUUAAUUCGAUGAUACGCGAGGAACCUUACCCGGGCUUGAAUUGCAGAGGAAGGAUUUAGAGAUA
RNAcentral lists this ribosomal RNA (505 nucleotides) under uncultured bacterium. Its description in RNAcentral is "bacterial SSU rRNA". It matches the Rfam family "Bacterial small subunit ribosomal RNA", at positions 501 to 1008 of the family's 1533-position model. The record is from RNAcentral.